UACAGAGGGUGCAAGCGUUAAUCGGAAUUACUGGGCGUAAAGCGUGCGCAGUCGGUUAUUUAAGUCGGGCGUGAAAGCCCCGGGCUCAACCUGGGAAUUGCGUUCGAUACUGGAUAGCUAGAGUUCGGCAGAGGGAAGCGGAAUUUCGGGUGUAGCGGUGAAAUGCGUAGAUAUCCGAAGGAACAUCAGUGGCGAAAGCGGCUUCCUGGACCAGAACUGACGAUCAGGCACGAAAGCGUGGGGAGCAAACGGG
RNAcentral lists this ribosomal RNA (253 nucleotides) under uncultured bacterium. RNAcentral describes it as "partial 16S ribosomal RNA". It matches the Rfam family "Bacterial small subunit ribosomal RNA", at positions 524 to 776 of the family's 1533-position model. The record is from RNAcentral.